RNAcentral lists this ribosomal RNA (468 nucleotides) under uncultured bacterium. Its description in RNAcentral is "partial 16S ribosomal RNA". It matches the Rfam family "Bacterial small subunit ribosomal RNA", at positions 28 to 507 of the family's 1533-position model. The record is from RNAcentral.
GAUGAACGCUGACAGAAUGCUUAACACAUGCAAGUCUACUUGAAUUUGGGUUUUUUAACUUAGAUUUGGGUGGCGGACGGGUGAGUAACGCGUAAAGAACUUGCCUCACAGUUAGGGACAACAUUUGGAAACGAAUGCUAAUACCUGAUAUUAUGAAUAUAUGGCAUCAUAUAAUUAUGAAAGCUAUAAGCGCUGUGAGAGAGCUUUGCGUCCCAUUAGCUAGUUGGAGAGGUAACGGCUCACCAAGGCGAUGAUGGGUAGCCGGCCUGAGAGGGUGAACGGCAACAAGGGGACUGAGACACGGUCCUUACUCCUACGGGAGGCAGCAGUGGGGAAUAUUGGACAAGGGACCAAGAGUCUGAUCCAGCAAUUCUGUGUGGACGAUGACGUUUUGCGGAAUGUAAAGUGCUUUCAGUUGAGAAGAAAAAAAUGACGGUACCAACAGAAGAAGUGACGGCUAAAUACGUG